This 465-nucleotide ribosomal RNA is filed under the name Vreelandella stevensii. Its description in RNAcentral is "partial 16S ribosomal RNA". It matches the Rfam family "Bacterial small subunit ribosomal RNA", at positions 338 to 795 of the family's 1533-position model. Lineage: Bacteria; Pseudomonadati; Pseudomonadota; Gammaproteobacteria; Oceanospirillales; Halomonadaceae. The record is from RNAcentral.
CCUACGGGAGGCAGCAGUGGGGAAUAUUGGACAAUGGGGGCAACCCUGAUCCAGCCAUGCCGCGUGUGUGAAGAAGGCCCUCGGGUUGUAAAGCACUUUCAGUGAGGAAGAACGCCUGGUGGUUUAUACCCAUCAGGAAAGACAUCACUCACAGAAGAAGCACCGGCUAACUCCGUGCCAGCAGCCGCGGUAAUACGGAGGGUGCGAGCGUUAAUCGGAAUUACUGGGCGUAAAGCGCGCGUAGGUGGCUUGAUAAGCCGGUUGUGAAAGCCCCGGGCUCAACCUGGGAACGGCAUCCGGAACUGUCAAGCUAGAGUGCAGGAGAGGAAGGUAGAAUUCCCGGUGUAGCGGUGAAAUGCGUAGAGAUCGGGAGGAAUACCAGUGGCGAAGGCGGCCUUCUGGACUGACACUGACACUGAGGUGCGAAAGCGUGGGUAGCAAACAGGAUUAGAUACCCUUGUAGUC